GACGAACGCUGGCGGCGUGCCUAAUACAUGCAAGUCGAACGCUGAAGGAGGAGCUUGCUUCUCUGGAUGAGUUGCGAACGGGUGAGUAACGCGUAGGUAACCUGCCUGGUAGCGGGGGAUAACUAUUGGAAACGAUAGCUAAUACCGCAUAAUAGUAGAUGUUGCAUGACAUUUGCUUAAAAGGUGCAAUUGCAUCACUACCAGAUGGACCUGCGUUGUAUUAGCUAGUUGGUGGGGUAACGGCUCACCAAGGCGACGAUACAUAGCCGACCUGAGAGGGGGAUCGGCCACCCUGGGACUGGGGCACCGCCCCGACCCCUACGGGAGGCAGCAGUAGGGAAUCUUCGGCCAUGGACGGAAGUCUGACCGAGCAACGCCGCGUGAGUGAAGAAGGUUUUCGGAUCGUAAAGCUCUGUUGUAAGAGAAGAACGAGUGUGAGAGUGGAAAGUUCACACUGUGACGGUAUCUUACCAGAAAGAGACGGCUAACUACGUG
RNAcentral lists this ribosomal RNA (495 nucleotides) under uncultured bacterium. RNAcentral describes it as "partial 16S ribosomal RNA". It matches the Rfam family "Bacterial small subunit ribosomal RNA", at positions 28 to 507 of the family's 1533-position model. The record is from RNAcentral.